UACGGGGGGAGCUAGUGUUGUUCGGAUUUACUGGGCGUAAAGGGCGCGUAGGUGGUUAUAUAAGUUAGAAGUGAAAUCCCAAAGCUUAACUUUGGAACUGCUUCUAAAACUAUAUUGACUAGAGUAUGGCAGAGGGCAAUAGAAUUCCUAGUGUAGAGGUGAAAUUCUUAGAUAUUAGGAGGAAUACCGAUUGCGAAGGCAAUUGCCUGGACCAGUACUGACACUAAGGCGCGAAGGCGUGGGGAGCAAACAGG
Molecule: ribosomal RNA, 254 nt
Filed under: uncultured bacterium
Lineage: Bacteria
Description: partial 16S ribosomal RNA
Rfam family: Bacterial small subunit ribosomal RNA
Source: RNAcentral